This 245-nucleotide ribosomal RNA is filed under the name uncultured bacterium. Its description in RNAcentral is "partial 16S ribosomal RNA". It matches the Rfam family "Bacterial small subunit ribosomal RNA", at positions 111 to 354 of the family's 1533-position model. The record is from RNAcentral.
UAACGCGUGAGCAACCUGCCUUUCAGAGGGGGAUAACGAUUGGAAACGAUCGCUAAUACCGCAUAACAUUGCAGAGCCGCAUGGUUUUGCAAUCAAAGGAGCAAUCCGCUGAGAGAUGGGCUCGCGUCCAAUUAGGUAGAUGGCGGGGUAGAGGCCCACCAUGCCGACGAUUGGUAGCCGGACUGAGAGGUUGAACGGCCACAUUGGGACUGAGACACGGCCCAGACUCCUACGGAAGGCAGCAG